This 285-nucleotide unclassified non-coding RNA is filed under the name Melitaea cinxia (Glanville fritillary). Its description in RNAcentral is "misc RNA ENSMCXG00005004937.1". Lineage: Eukaryota; Metazoa; Arthropoda; Insecta; Lepidoptera; Nymphalidae. The record is from RNAcentral.
GGCAGGUAGGCUCCUUAUAAGAUGUAGGCAUCCGCUAAGAACGGAUUUUACGAAACUCGACCCCUAAGGGGGUGAAAUGGGGGUUGCAAGUUUGUAUGAACGUCCUAUGAUUUUGAAGUAAGAGACUUGAAAUUUAAAAUGUAUGCUCUAUAGAUGAUGAGAAGGUGUUCAAAUAAUAUAUCUUUAGAAAUCAACUCCCUUUUGGGGUUGAAUCGGGGGAUGGUAGAUUGAUUCAUUCAUCACGAAAUCUCCGAAACUAUAAGAGCUACAAAUUUGAUAUUUGAC